UACGAGGGGUGCAAGCGUUGCUCGGAAUUAUUGGGCGUAAAGGGUAGGUAGGUGGUCUCAUUUGUCUGGGGUGAAAGCCUUGAGCUUAACUCAAGAAGUGCCCUAGAAACGGUGAGACUGGAGUCCUGGAGAGGGUCGUGGAAUUCCCGGUGUAGCGGUGAAAUGCGUAGAGAUCGGGAGGAACACCAGCGGCGAAGGCGGCGACCUGGACAGGUACUGACGCUGAGGCACGAAAGCGUGGGGAGCAAACAGG
RNAcentral lists this ribosomal RNA (253 nucleotides) under uncultured bacterium. RNAcentral describes it as "partial 16S ribosomal RNA". It matches the Rfam family "Bacterial small subunit ribosomal RNA", at positions 524 to 776 of the family's 1533-position model. The record is from RNAcentral.